ACUUUUCUCCGACUGUCCCCCAUCUCCCACUCAUGAAAUCGAGGAUCUGCAGCAAUGGCGCUGAGAUCCCCACUCCUCCAUCUCCCUCUCUCUCUCGCUCUGUCUCUCUCUCUAUCGAAGGCAUGGCCUCCCAUCCCCGAAACCCUCACUGAAUGACAGCAAACCUAAACCCACCCCAAUCCGUCUCAAACAAACAGGACAAAAUUGCCCUUCCAACCCAG
Molecule: long non-coding RNA, 221 nt
Filed under: Malus domestica (apple)
Lineage: Eukaryota; Viridiplantae; Streptophyta; Magnoliopsida; Rosales; Rosaceae
Description: long non-coding RNA (MDOM_LNC014869)
Source: RNAcentral